GUGAGGAAUAUUGGUCAAUGGACGAAAGUCUGAACCAGCCAAGUAGCGUGCAGGACGACGGCCCUCUGGGUUGUAAACUGCUUUUAGUUGGGAAUAAAAAGAGGGACGUGUCCCUUAUUGUAUGUACCAUCAGAAAAAGGACCGGCUAAUUCCGUGCCAGCAGCCGCGGUAAUACGGAAGGUCCAGGCGUUAUCCGGAUUUAUUGGGUUUAAAGGGAGCGCAGGCGGCGGCGUAAGUCAGUUGUGAAAUCGUGCGGCUUAACCGUGCAAUUGCAGUUGAUACUGCGUCGCUUGAGUGCACACAGGGAUGUUGGAAUUCAUGGUGUAGCGGUGAAAUGCUUAGAUAUCAUGAAGAACUCCGAUCGCGAAGGCAUAUGUCCGGAGUGCAACUGACGCUGAGGCUCGAAAGUGUGGGUAUCAAACAGGAUUAGAAACCCUAGUAGUCC
RNAcentral lists this ribosomal RNA (445 nucleotides) under uncultured bacterium. RNAcentral describes it as "bacterial SSU rRNA". It matches the Rfam family "Bacterial small subunit ribosomal RNA", at positions 354 to 796 of the family's 1533-position model. The record is from RNAcentral.